Non-coding RNA from Desulfotignum phosphitoxidans DSM 13687, 152 nucleotides. The record is from Rfam. NCBI's taxonomy places the organism in Bacteria, Pseudomonadati, Thermodesulfobacteriota, Desulfobacteria, Desulfobacterales, Desulfobacteraceae.
CCUGCUGUAUUACCAGCAGUUUUUCAUUCCGGCAUGCAUUACCAGUAAUGGUUUUGUGUGAAGCCCGGAUGACAAUGAAGCCCUUGGCUUUAUGCCAGGAGAGAGAGCCGUGAGGGGACCUCAACUCUGGGAGCAUCAAUCCAGAUGGGAGC